GACGAACGCUGGCGGCGUGCCUAAUACAUGCAAGUUGAGCGCUGAAGGUUGGUACUUGUACCAACUGGAUGAGCAGCGAACGGGUGAGUAACGCGUGGGGAAUCUGCCUUUGAGCGGGGGACAACAUUUGGAAACGAAUGCUAAUACCGCAUAAAAACUUUAAACAAAAGUUUUAAGUUUGAAAGAUGCAAUUGCAUCACUCAAAGAUGAUCCCGCGUUGUAUUAGCUAGUUGGUGAGGUAAAGGCUCACCAAGGCGAUGAUACAUAGCCGACCUGAGAGGGUGAUCGGCCACAUUGGGACUGAGACACGGCCCAAACUCCUACGGGAGGCAGCAGUAGGGAAUCUUCGGCAAUGGACGAAAGUCUGACCGAGCAACGCCGCGUGAGUGAAUAAGGGUUUCGGAUCGUAAAACUCUGUUGGUAGAGAAGAACGUUGGUGAGAGUGGAAAGCUCAUCAAGUGACGGUAACUACCCAGAAAGGGACGGCUAACUACGUG
Molecule: ribosomal RNA, 497 nt
Filed under: uncultured bacterium
Lineage: Bacteria
Description: partial 16S ribosomal RNA
Rfam family: Bacterial small subunit ribosomal RNA
Source: RNAcentral